GUUCCGUGUGAACAGCCGUUGCACACGAGUCAGUCGAUCCUAAGCCCUAGGAGAAAUCCGAUGUCGAUGCGGGGGGCCGUUCCACGUGCUCCCCCUCGAUGGGCGAAAGGGAAUCCGGUUCCUAUUCCGGAACCCGGCAGCGGAACCGAAUCUACGGGCCCUCGUCAGAGAAGCUCGUCGGGGUAACCCAAAGGGACCCGGAGACGCCGUCGGGAGACCCGGGCAGAGUUUUCUGUUCUGCAUAAGCGUUCGAGUUCCCUGGAAUCCUCUAGCAGGGAGAUAGGGUUUGGAACGCGAAGAGCACCGCAGUUGCGGCGGUGUCCGGGUCGUCCCCUCGGACCUUGAAAAUCCGGGAGAGGGUCACGCGGAGGUGUCGCGCCGGCUCGUACCCAUAUCCGCAGCAGGUCUCCAAGGUGAAGAGCCUCUAGUCG
This 431-nucleotide ribosomal RNA is filed under the name Theopropus elegans. RNAcentral's name for it is "eukaryotic LSU rRNA". It matches the Rfam family "Eukaryotic large subunit ribosomal RNA", at positions 1506 to 1889 of the family's 3401-position model. The record is from RNAcentral. Lineage: Eukaryota; Metazoa; Arthropoda; Insecta; Mantodea; Hymenopodidae.